AUUUUUGCUCUUUGUUCUCCUCUCAUUUUCCUCAUCACUGUCGCUCUCUCUUUCCUCAUCUUUACCAUUUGCAUCCUUAGUCUCUCUUUCCUCAUCUCCACCAUCUUCCUCCUCGGUUUUACUUUCCUCAUAUCCACUCAUCUCCACCAUCUAAAGUCCCAUCGACACUUGUUCGGAGUUCUCCACCGAAAAUACAAUAAAUUAAUUUGCAAUCAUCCAUUUGUUUCUGUCCUGCACAAUAUUUGUAGUAACUUACAUAUACAACAUAUUAAAUAUUAGCCUUGAACUUGCCAUAUGCUUAUUGUUUUUUAAUAACAAAUUAUAUUUUACCAAGAGCUUUGCAAAUUUCCUUAAGAGAUUUCCUAAGAAAUUAUACAAUGAAUAGAUGUUGGGGAACUGAAUCUAGCUAUUAUAGAGAAUGUCACUUAGAGGGAUUGGUCUACAUAGAGUAGCCAACCAAAGAGCAAGGCUAUUGGGUAGGCUGGGUUUCCCUAAAUGAUGGAAAGUUGGGGAUCUGACACGUUUUGUGCAGUGAAGCAUGCUAUUAUGGUAAACAUUACAAAGUAUAACAAGAUAAUAAGAUAUCAAGGGCAACAUUGAUUGUCAGCAAUAGGGCACUUAAUUUCAUAAAUUGGAAGAGAGCGAGUGAUCUAAGAUGGUAAUGAACCAGAAGCUCUCCGAAUCUUAAUUGAAAACCAUUAGUUAUCUUCAUUUAGACAGCUAGUCAUCCCAAAAAAUUACAAAGGAAAUAACACUCAUUUAACUCCACGAGAAUUAGUGAAUAUAAACAAUAUUUUUUCCAUUAGUUUUUUUAAUGAUGGCUAAAGCCACAUUAGAAAUUGAAAAAACAAACACCAAAAUUACUAAAAAUUCCACUAUACCUUUGAUAAAAUCAGAAAACAGGAAAUUGUAUAGUGACCAAUUUGGUUUGGAUAAAAUUAGACAGAAAACCAACCAUUUUUGUGAGGUAAGUAGCAAUAAUCAAAUACUACAUCUUGAAACCCGAAAUCAAAUAAUUGAAUUCAAGUUCCAAGCGACUUACCCCAGCAAAAAUACAAAAAGUGCACAAUGAUAAAUGACAGACAAAAUUCAGAGCAAAAAACAAAUUACCUAUCCAUUCUUUUACUUCAUACACCUGAGUUUUGUCUACCAUUUAUUAUAACAAAUUAAGAAUAAGAAAAAUCAAUACAUCUUUUGAAUCACCUAUCCAUUCUUUCAUUUGUCGAUGACAAAUUAAAUACAGCCAAUGUAGCUAAAUAAAAACCCAACAACAAAUUUCAAGGAUACGUUUUCAUCCACCUUUUGAUAAAAAACAACAUAAAUUUAAUUUUCCCUAAAUUUAAAGACAAUUAACAAGCUUUUGAUUUACAUUUUUACUUCAUAUGAUUAAGUAAAAGGUUUCCAUGCCAAGCCUUAACGACAAAGUUGAAGUUACAACAUAAAUAGCAUUAUAAAAAUGUUUUAAAGAUUUAAUUGAUCUAUUCUUUCAUACUUGGUCCUAAAAAAUCGAGCUUGACCUGUGAUGGGAUCAGUGCUCUGUGGGACCUUCAUAGAGAGUUGUGGGACCUUCGUGGGGGUGAGAAAAACCUUCAUAGAGAUUGUGACAAAGUUGUACGACCUUUGACAAAGUUGUAUGACCUUUGAUUGUAGAGAGAAAAAAAAACGUGAUGCUUUGUGAGAGAGUGGGGCCUUCGUAAAAAGAGAGAUUGAGAAAGAAGUAGAGUUUUGGCUUAAAUAGAGAGAGAAAAUAGGGCUAAAAGUAGAGAGAGGGAGAGCAAAAAAAUAGGUCAAGAGAGAGAGAUAGUGGACCUUGUAGAAAAAGUGGUAGACAAGAACUCACAUUUAAAGAGUGAGAAAUGAAAUGAGGAAAAAUCGUGGAAUACAAAAUGAGAAUACCGUGACGAAAGAGAAAGAAUGGAAAAAGGCGUAAGGGAAAAUGGUGGAGAGAAAAAGGAGAAAUACGCUAUUGAAGGAAAAGGAAAUGGGAAAUUUCGUGAAGGUAGGAAAAUGAAUGGAGCGAAGGUAAAAAACGUAGGGGCGUAGGGUAAAGGUCAAAAAAAAAAGAAGAUAAAAAGUAAAUUAAAAACGAGGGGUAAUUUUAUCAUACAUUUUAUGUUUUUUUAGGUUUGGGGGGUUCCAGUUAUAAAAGUUGGUUUUUUAUAAAAAAAAGUGAGAAAAAUAUGAGGGUGGGGGUAGAGUGUCCAUAGAGUACAUUAUAAGGGGUUUUAGAAAUUUUCGCAAAAAAAUGUUAUAUUUUUAAGGAAAAGUUUAUGUAGAGCUUAGGCUCUAAACAAUCAAAGCCUACCUCAAAAUUUUCAUUAGAAAAUGUUGUUUUGAUGCCCAAAUAUCUUCAAAUUGAUCAUCUCGACAUCAAGAUACAUGAACAUGAGAAAAAAAAAGAUUUCAAGUUUUGGAACUAAUGUAUACAUUUUUGGACCAUCAAUUUUCAAGACUUCUAAGUUUCAAUUGAUCUGCUCGAUCUACACUAUCUUUGCAACAUUAAACUUUAUACCUAGAUAUGAAAAUAUAUUUUAAGGAUAUCACAAAGAAUGACCAAAAUACCCCUGAAAGAUUUAAGGG
Molecule: long non-coding RNA, 2580 nt
Filed under: Amborella trichopoda
Lineage: Eukaryota; Viridiplantae; Streptophyta; Magnoliopsida; Amborellales; Amborellaceae
Description: long non-coding RNA (ATRI_LNC002989)
Source: RNAcentral